This 21-nucleotide non-coding RNA is filed under the name Caenorhabditis elegans. The record is from RNAcentral. Lineage: Eukaryota; Metazoa; Nematoda; Chromadorea; Rhabditida; Rhabditidae.
UUCUUUUGGAAUUCUUCAGUC